ACUCCUACGGGAGGCAGCAGUGGGGAAUAUUGCACAAUGGGGAAACCCUGAUGCAGCCAUGCCGCGUGUGUGAAGAAGGCCUUCGGUUGUAAAGCACUUUCAGUAGGGAGGAAGGUAGUGUAGUUAACACCUGCAUUAUUUGACGUUACCUACAGAAGAAGCACCGGCUAACUCCGUGCCAGCAGCCGCGGUAAUACGGAGGGUGCGAGCGUUAAUCGGAAUUACUGGGCGUAAAGCGCAUGCAGGCGGCCUGUUAAGUCAGAUGUGAAAGCCCGGGGGCUUAACCUCGGAAUUGCAUUUGAAACUGGCAGGCUAGAGUCUUGUAGAGGGGGUAGAAUUUCAGGUGUAGCGGUGAAAUGCGUAGAGAUCUGAAGGAAUACCAGUGGCGAAGGCGGCCCCCUGGACAAAGACUGACGCUCAGAUGCGAAAGCGUGGGGAGCAAACAGGAUUAGAUACCCUGGUAGACUGUCA
Molecule: ribosomal RNA, 471 nt
Filed under: uncultured bacterium
Lineage: Bacteria
Description: bacterial SSU rRNA
Rfam family: Bacterial small subunit ribosomal RNA
Source: RNAcentral